UGUGAACCCCUCAAUGGGUUAAAUUUAAUUAAUAAAUAUGAAAGAAAUUUUAAAGCCAGCGUUUGAUGAUACAUUUGUUACAAAAUACCAUUAUCGGAAUGCUCUGAGCGCUGCCGCUGAAAAGUUGCUUUUCGUACAAAAACACCCCUGGCCCUUGUUGUUGCGUGUCGUGUUGAAUUUACAUUUCCAAGUAAUUUGCUUGUGUCAAAAGGUACAUAGCAAGGUGAGAGUUUCGUGAAGAUUUGAGCACUCGGCAUUAGGGUACGGCUGCCAGACGUCCUUGUUUUCUAGGAUUUGUCCUAUUUAGACAAAUUGUCCUGGUGUCCUGGUCCACAUUUAAAUUGUCCUGGUUUUUAAUGAAGUUAGGCUCUCUGUCAAACUGAUAACGAAACGUUUUUUCUAACAUGUUGAAUAUCUGGUGAGUUGACCUUCUUUCUGUUUAGUUUAUUUGGUUAAAAUCUCAUUUUUUUCAGGAAAAUGCCAAAAAAGUGCAUGUUCCCGAUCAGGUACACGGCUGAGGGGUCAUCCAUAAUUACAACCCAGAAGGUAAUUUCAGGAGCUAAAAUCUCAUCAAAAAGGCCUUUCUUUCCUUUCUCCUUCAUUUUUGUAUGGAGUGGCAAAAAUUGAAGGUGUAGGAUGCCUUCUUAAGAAGUUCUUUUAACGUUUUUCUCAAUUCAUAAAAAUCAUACUUCUUUAAGGAA
Long non-coding RNA from Rhagoletis pomonella (apple maggot), 701 nucleotides. RefSeq lists it as uncharacterized. The record is from RefSeq and is a predicted model, not a curated record. NCBI's taxonomy places the organism in Eukaryota, Metazoa, Arthropoda, Insecta, Diptera, Tephritidae. The transcript has 2 exons.